This 497-nucleotide ribosomal RNA is filed under the name uncultured bacterium. RNAcentral's name for it is "partial 16S ribosomal RNA". It matches the Rfam family "Bacterial small subunit ribosomal RNA", at positions 28 to 507 of the family's 1533-position model. The record is from RNAcentral.
GAUGAACGCUGGCGGCGUGCCUAAUACAUGCGAGUCGAGCGAACGGACGAGAAGCUUGCUUUUCUGAUGUUAGCGGCGGACGGGUGAGUAACACGUGGAUAACCUACCUAUAAGACUGGGAUAACUUCGGGAAACCGGAGCUAAUACCGGAUAAUAUUUUGAACCGCAUGGUUCAAAAGUGAAAGACGGUCUUGCUGUCACUUAUAGAUGGAUCCGCGCUGCAUUAGCUAGUUGGUAAGGUAACGGCUUACCAAGGCAACGAUGCAUAGCCGACCUGAGAGGGUGAUCGGCCACACUGGAACUGAGACACGGUCCAGACUCCUACGGGAGGCAGCAGUAGGGAAUCUUCCGCAAUGGGCGAAAGCCUGACGGAGCAACGCCGCGUGAGUGAUGAAGGUCUUCGGAUCGUAAAACUCUGUUAUUAGGGAAGAACAUAUGUGUAAGUAACUGUGCACGUCUUGACGGUACCUAAUCAGAAAGCCACGGCUAACUACGUG